CGUAGCUUCGACUUGGCUGCUAGACCUGCAACUUGCACAUGGACCAGCCGUGGCUUCGCGCUCAAGCGUUAUUCGAGCGCUGACGUACUGACACGCCCCGUGCCACUCCGGCUUAUCUUUCGCACUAUCGCCGACGGACUCUUCAUGGCGGACGUGCUCCCGGCAUUAGAUCGAGAGCGCCGACUGUCUUCACACACCCCCUGUUUCACAACGGCAGAUCUUCCUGGCGGAUAUCCCCCCGGCACAGCCUCAACUCUACAAACUCUUCGUGCCACCGGGUAUAGCAACUGCAGACGAGGCCAUCGUCAAGGAGUUUCAGCGCCGGCAACAGAUCGGGGACCGCCACAGGGGUCGUCGUUACUGCGAGCUUCAACGUCGGCAUCAAACAAAAUGGCAGGUGAGCCUGCUAACGAGGCUGGCGAGGGUCGCUGUCUUCUCCCACGACGGAAGUGCGUGUAAUAGCUUCAGGUUUAGCGAACACUAGGCAGGUAGGUAGCUGUUAGGGGUUUCCGUCGUGGGGGUAAGACUCAUCCGGAAUGUCGUUGCACUCCCGGCCACCAUUUUGUGCCAGUCUCU
Long non-coding RNA from Rhipicephalus sanguineus (brown dog tick), 576 nucleotides. RefSeq lists it as uncharacterized. The record is from RefSeq and is a predicted model, not a curated record. The transcript is spliced from 4 exons. NCBI's taxonomy places the organism in Eukaryota, Metazoa, Arthropoda, Arachnida, Ixodida, Ixodidae.